UCCUGGCUCAGAUUGAACGCUGGCGGCAUGCUUUACACAUGCAAGUCGAACGGCAGCGGGGGCUUCGGCCUGCCGGCGAGUGGCGAACGGGUGAGUAAUGCAUCGGAACGUGCCCAUGUCGUGGGGGAUAACGUAGCGAAAGCUACGCUAAUACCGCAUACGCCCCUGAGGGGGAAAGCGGGGGGAUUCUUCGGAACCUCGCGCGAUUGGAGCGGCCGAUGUCGGAUUAGCUAGUAGGUGGGGUAAAGGCCCACCUAGGCGACGAUCCGUAGCGGGUCUGAGAGGAUGAUCCGCCACACUGGGACUGAGACACGGCCCAGACUCCUACGGGAGGCAGCAGUGGGGAAUUUUGGGACAAUGGGCGCAAGCCUGAUCCAGCCAUGCCGCGUGAGUGAAGAAGGCCUCGGUGUAAGACUCUUCGUCCGGGACGGAAAGUACGUGGUCGUCUAACACUAG
Molecule: ribosomal RNA, 456 nt
Filed under: uncultured bacterium
Lineage: Bacteria
Description: bacterial SSU rRNA
Rfam family: Bacterial small subunit ribosomal RNA
Source: RNAcentral